GGAGUUAGCCGGUGCUUCUUCUGUGAGUGAUGUCCUUCCUGCCGGCUAUUAACCCGCAGGCCUUCUUCCUCACUGAAAGUGCUUUACAACCCGAAGGCCUUCUUCACACACGCGGCAUGGCUGGAUCAGGGUUGCCCCCAUUGUCCAAUAUUCCCCACUGCUGCCUCCCGUAGGAGUCUGGGCCGUGUCUCAGUCCCAGUGUGGCUGAUCAUCCUCUCAGACCAGCUACGGAUCGUCACCUUGGUGAGCCGUUACCUCACCAACCAGCUAAUCCGACAUAGGCUCAUCCGAUAGCGCGAGGCCCGAAGGUCCCCCGCUUUCCCCCGUAGGGCGUAUGCGGUAUUAGCCUGGGUUUCCCCAGGUUAUCCCCCACUACCGGGCAGAUUCCUAUGCAUUACUCACCCGUCCGCCGCUCGCCACCAGGGAGCAAGCUCCCCGUGCUGCCGCUCGACUUGCAUGUGUUAGGCCUGCCGCCAGCGUUCAAUCUGAGCCAUGAUCAAACUCUGA
Molecule: ribosomal RNA, 507 nt
Filed under: uncultured bacterium
Lineage: Bacteria
Description: partial 16S ribosomal RNA
Source: RNAcentral